AAAACGUUGUCUGAGAAUCCCCUCUUCUCCCAAAGGGGCUUAGCAGACAGCCAGGAGUUUUGCAGGGGGCUUCUUACUAGUCAGCCCAAGGCAUUUGUCUCCCCUGCUUCUUGCCCUUCUCAGGGUUACAGGCCAGGAGCCCUCCACCCCUUCUCUGACUGCAGAAGAGAAGGAGACUGCAAAGAGCUCUCAGGACCCAAGGAUCUGUGGCUGAGAGACUGGCUAAGGAUGAGGGGAGAUUACAGAACAGAGAGGUGGACCUCCACGUGUGGGAGUGAUUCAUCUGAGGGGCUGAGAGUCAUGCUAACCUCCUAGGGCGGGCACUGAUCCGAAAUGAGGGACCUAGACCUUCUGACGUGUGGAUUUGUUGUGACUCACCCAGUAAGGCUUCUAACUCUGCCACCCACUUCAAGCCCACUCACCAGCUUCUGGAGACCACCGGCUCUCUGCUCCUUUCUCGGAAAAGGACAUUGUCUACACAUGCUGGGCCUAGCAGAAUGCCUGGAGGAGGGUGACGUUCAGCAAACAUUGUUUGAAUGAAUAAACACACACAUGCUUGCCACAUCCAGGAUGGCUGGCGAAAUUGUAGAA
Molecule: long non-coding RNA, 591 nt
Organism: Camelus dromedarius (Arabian camel)
Lineage: Eukaryota; Metazoa; Chordata; Mammalia; Artiodactyla; Camelidae
Exons: 3
Source: RefSeq, a predicted model, not a curated record